UUCUGCGCGGCGAGUGAGGUGAGACGCCAAAACUCACUUCACUGUCACAUGACUCUUGUCACCCUAUUCUACGAGUCGAGUCGGGUGACGUGAGAGGUUCAUUUCAGGGUGAGUGACAAAAUGAAUCACAAGUGACUUGGUGUUCAUUUUGGGACCUGUCAGAAGUGUGUUUUUCUUUUUUUCUAAGAAAAAUAUUUGCAUUUUCUCUAACGUAAGUUAAAUUUGAUUUUAUUUUAUCGAUUGCCAGGGCAAAAAACGGUAUUACGGUUGAUGGAAGCGCUUUAUUUUGGAUUUAGAACGAAACAGACUAGAGUGGUACCAAUGAGGCCCACAUCUAAAUUGAUUUUACAAACAGUAGGUUGUUUGAGCUGGUUGUUGCAUGGAAAAAGUUUCUUUAAAGCUUUUCCGAACACAGCUUUGUUUUGUGGAAUCUAGAAAGUGCGAAGAACUUGUUCUGACGGCAGAUGGACUAUUCCAAUUAAAACUAUACAUCGUUGAUUAGAAAAUUCUUUGUGCGAUUUGUGUGCGAUGGAACUCGACUAGUUUGGGAAAAUUCUAAUGGAGCGUCGUCCGGUGUGGAAUAUUGUAACCAUGGAUUACUUCAGGCGUCUAACGAAGAGGCGCUGUUCGAGGAGCUGCAAAUUAUUAAAUUAAGUCUGACGAUACGUCAGUGGCAGAGUCAUAAAGUCACCACUUCACACAUUUUCGAUGCUCCAGUGUAAUCAAUCAUCAACUGUUAAAUUUUACUUGGCUACUGAUCUAAACGAUCGAACGGAUCUUGUAUCUAGUUGACAAUGAUAGCAAUGUUAUAUAAUUUUUUCGACACAUUUUAUUUUUUUUUCUUGAAAAUAUAGAAACUUGGUCCAGCAUUA
This is a long non-coding RNA of Topomyia yanbarensis, 872 nucleotides long. RefSeq lists it as uncharacterized. The transcript has 2 exons. NCBI's taxonomy places the organism in Eukaryota, Metazoa, Arthropoda, Insecta, Diptera, Culicidae. The record is from RefSeq and is a predicted model, not a curated record.